Molecule: ribosomal RNA, 536 nt
Filed under: Valentia apetala
Lineage: Eukaryota; Metazoa; Arthropoda; Insecta; Hemiptera; Reduviidae
Description: partial 16S ribosomal RNA
Rfam family: Bacterial large subunit ribosomal RNA
Source: RNAcentral
UCAAAAACAUGUCCUUUAGGUUAAUUAUAUAAGGUCUGGCCUGCCCAAUGAUUAUAAAUUUAAUGGCUGCGGUAUUUUAACCGUACUAAGGUAGCAUAAUCAUUAGUCUUUUAAUUGAAGGCUGGAAUGAAAGGUUGGAUGAGGUAUUAACUUUCUUUAAGAUAUUGUAAUAAUUUAAUUUUUUAGUUAAAAAGCUAAAAUUUUUUUGUAGGACGAGAAGACCCUAUAGAUCUUUAUAAAUAUUAUAAUUUAAAUGUUAUUAGUUGUUAAUAUAGUUAAUUGUAUUAGUUAUUAGGUUGGGGUGAUUUUAGAAUUUAUUUAACUUCUGAUGAAUAAAUUUCAUUAUUUUAUGUUUAAUAUGAUCCAUUAAUAAUGAUUAUAAGAAAAAGUUACCUUAGGGAUAACAGCGUUAUUUCUUCGGAAAGUUCAUAUUGAUGAAGAAGUUUGCGACCUCGAUGUUGGAUUAAAAUAAGUAAUGAGCGCAGUAGCCCUUUAACUGGGUCUGUUCGACCCUUAAUAUUUUACAUGAUCUGAGU